Molecule: ribosomal RNA, 956 nt
Filed under: Chitinophaga sp.
Lineage: Bacteria; Pseudomonadati; Bacteroidota; Chitinophagia; Chitinophagales; Chitinophagaceae
Description: bacterial SSU rRNA
Rfam family: Bacterial small subunit ribosomal RNA
Source: RNAcentral
AGUCGAGGGGCAUCACAGGUAGCAAUACUGGGUGGCGACCGGCAAACGGGUGCGGAACACGUACGUAACCUUCCUUUAAGUGGGAGAUAGCCCGAAGAAAUUCGGAUUAAUACCCCAUAAGAUUGUGGAGUGGCAUCACUCAGCAAUUAAAGAAUUUCGCUUAAAGAUGGGCGUGCGGCUGAUUAGGUAGUUGGUGAGGUAACGGCUCACCAAGCCAACGAUCAGUAACUGGCGUGAGAGCGCGACCAGUCACACGGGCACUGAGACACGGGCCCGACUCCUACGGGAGGCAGCAGUAAGGAAUAUUGGUCAAUGGACGCAAGUCUGAACCAGCCAUGCCGCGUGAAGGAUGAAGGUCCUCUGGAUUGUAAACUUCUUUUAUAUGGGAAGAAACCACUCUUAUCUAUAGGUGUUGACGGUACCAUAGGAAUAAGCACCGGCUAACUCCGUGCCAGCAGCCGCGGUAAUACGGAGGGUGCAAGCGUUAUCCGGAUUCACUGGGUUUAAAGGGUGCGUAGGCGGAUUAGUAAGUCCGUGGUGAAAUCUCCGAGCUUAACUCGGAAACUGCCGUGGAUACUAUUAUUCUUGAAUACUGUGGAGGUUAGCGGAAUAUGUCAUGUAGCGGUGAAAUGCAUAGAUAUGACAUACAACACCAAUUGCGAAGGCAGCUGGCUACACAGAGAUUGACGCUGAUGCACGAGAGCGUGAGGAUCAAACAGGAUUAGAUACCCUGGUAGUCCACGCCCUAAACGAUGAUUACUCGACAUUUGCGAUAUACAGUGAAGUGUCUGAGCGAACGCAUUAAGUAAUCCACCUGGGAAGUACGACCGCAAGGUUGAACUCAAGGAAUUGACGGGGGUCCGCACAAGCGAUGGAGCAUGUGGUUUAAUUCGAUGAUACGCGAGGAACCUUACCUGGGCUAGAAUGCUGGUGGACUGGAUCUGAAAGGUCCUUGU